This 300-nucleotide ribosomal RNA is filed under the name uncultured Azospirillum sp. RNAcentral's name for it is "bacterial SSU rRNA". It matches the Rfam family "Bacterial small subunit ribosomal RNA", at positions 495 to 795 of the family's 1533-position model. The record is from RNAcentral. Lineage: Bacteria; Pseudomonadati; Pseudomonadota; Alphaproteobacteria; Rhodospirillales; Azospirillaceae.
UAAGAACGUUGUCCAGUAGGCGGGUUAAGACUAGUGUGUCAAGCGUGUGUUGGAAUAGUGGGGCAGAAAGGUGACGGAGGGUGCUGAGUAAGUCAGAUGUGAAAGCCCGGGGCUCAACCUCGGAAUUGCAUCCGGUACUGCCGUGCUAGAGUACUGAAGAGGUGACUAGAAUUCUCGGUGUAGCAGUGAAAUGCGUAGAUAUCGAGAGGAAUACCAACGGCGAAGGCAGGUCACUGGGCAGUUACUGACACUGAGGCACGAAGGCCAGGGGAGCAAACGGGAUUAGAUACCCCUGUAGUC